This 491-nucleotide ribosomal RNA is filed under the name uncultured bacterium. RNAcentral's name for it is "partial 16S ribosomal RNA". It matches the Rfam family "Bacterial small subunit ribosomal RNA", at positions 28 to 506 of the family's 1533-position model. The record is from RNAcentral.
GAUGAACGCUAGCUACAGGCUUAACACAUGCAAGUCGAGGGGAAACGACAUCGAAAGCUUGCUUUUGAUGGGCGUCGACCGGCGCACGGGUGAGUAACGCGUAUCCAACCUGCCCAUCACUUGGAAAUAACCUUGCGAAAGUAAGACUAAUACCCAAUGACAUCCCACGAAGACAUCUGAAUGGGAUUAAAGAUUUAUCGGUGAUGGAUGGGGAUGCGUCUGAUUAGCUUGUUGGCGGGGUAACGGCCCACCAAGGCAACGAUCAGUAGGGGUUCUGAGAGGAAGGUCCCCCACAUUGGAACUGAGACACGGUCCAAACUCCUACGGGAGGCAGCAGUGAGGAAUAUUGGUCAAUGGGCGAGAGCCUGAACCAGCCAAGUAGCGUGCAGGAUGACGGCCCUAUGGGUUGUAAACUGCUUUUAUAAGGGAAUAAAGUGGGUCUCGUGAGACUUUUUGCAUGUACCUUAUGAAUAAGGACCGGCUAAUUCCGU